This 64-nucleotide small RNA is filed under the name Curtobacterium sp. ER1/6. Its description in RNAcentral is "Betaproteobacteria toxic small RNA". Lineage: Bacteria; Bacillati; Actinomycetota; Actinomycetes; Micrococcales; Microbacteriaceae. The record is from RNAcentral.
GAACAGAAGCCCGGGUCCGAGGACCCGGGCUUCAUCACUGUCUCAACACAGUGUCGGGGUGACA